GUUGGCUGUGGGUUUGUCAUAGAUGGCUUUUAUUACAUUAAGGAAACUUGCUUCCCUUCUUCCUGCCCUUGGACAUGAGACUCCAGGUUCUUAUGCGUUUGGACUCUGGGACUUGCACCAGUGGCUUCCCCGAGGCUCUCAGGCCCCCGGCCUCAGACUGAAGACUGCACUGCGGGCUUUCCUGGUUUUGAGGCUUUUGGACUUGGACUGAGCCACUACUAGCUUCUCUCUUUCCCUACCUGGCAGACAGCCUGUUGUGGGACUGCCUUCUAACCGUGUGAACCAAUUCUCUCUGGGAGCUUAUAGCUUCAUUGCACUGUGUGUGGCAUUUGGGUCCUGUUUGACAGCAAUGACUGCCUUUUUGUUUAGUGUCUGUGUGCUAUGAAGAUUGCACACAGGGGUCCAGAUGCAUCCUGUUUUGAGAAUGUUAAUGGAUACACCAGCUGCUGCUUUGGAUUUCACCCAUUGGUGGUAGUGGACCCGCUGUUUGGAAUGCAGACAAUUUAAGUGAAGACAUAUCCAUAUAUGUGGCUCUGUUACAAUGGUGAAAUCUACAACCAUAAGAAGCCAAAAAUGUGAGUAUGACAUACAAAGAGAAAUACAUCAAGGACUUUUCAUCCUCAUAGUUUGCCAGUGAUGCUGGAGAGUGUCAGAAUUGGUGCAGCACCAGUUUGAAUUUGAAUACCAGACCAAAGUGGAUGGUGAGAUAAUCCUUCAUCUUUAUGACAAAGGAGGAAUUGAGCAAACAAUUUGUACGUUGGUUGGUGUGUUUGCAUUUGUUUUACUGGAUUCUGCCAAUAAGAAAGUGUCCCUGGACAGAGAUACAUAAGGAGUCAGACCUUUGUUUAAAGCAGUGACAGAAGAUGGAUUUUUGGCUGUGCGUUCAGAAGCUAAAGUUCUGGAGGCCACAAGUCCAAAAUCAAGGUGUGGGCAGAAAUGCGCUCCCUCUGCAGACUCCUGGGGAGGAUGCUUGUUUCUUCCAGCUCUGCGACUGUGGUGCCUGCAGCCAUUGGAACCAGCUCUGCACGGCUCAGACCUGGGUGAUGAGGACACAGCUUUGCAGCAGCUCCUGAAUGUUCCGGAUGAGCUCAGCUUCCUGAGGGAGGAGACGCCCUGAGCACCAGAGCCGGUCCUUGGUGAGGAUCCCAGGAGGCCCAGCUGCUGCAGGCCUUGGUCAACACCUGAGCAACCAGAAAUAGUUGAAUGCCGGGCCUGAGCUCUGACUGUGCAAGUUCUGCUCUCUCACUGGGUUUAUCCUGGGCUUUUGGGCAUUCUCCUUGGUGCGUUGUAAGUGGGGUGUUUUCCUCCAGGGCCUUCUAUGGGCUGCUGGGAAGGUCACUCAGUGGCAGUUCCCACGCCCCAGGCCUCAAGAGUCAUCACUGCUGCUCACUCAGUGCACCCAGGAACGUUGGCCUGUCCCUGGCCUCUGGACAGCUCCUGAGGACCCAAACUCUGGGGGCCCAGAUGCCCGCCCAGGCUGCCCCUCAGGGCUCUGUGUUGGGAAAGACCAUCCUCACACCAAGAGCAGGAGGAAGACCCUGUGUUUCUUCUUACUGCCUGGCCAGUUUAAUUUUCUGUGUGUAGGAACAAGACUUUUUUCCCUGUGAUUGGGGUCUUUGCCUGGACCACCAGCUACCUCCUUGUGUGCCAGAGCCCGAGUCCUGCACCCCUCUGUCCCUGGGUUUUCCUCUUCCUGCACUGUCAGUGUCUCCAUCACUUCGCAGGCACCCUUGUUGCAGGCAGAGGGUUUGCGGGAGCUGCAGCAGUUCUUGAGGCACUGAGAGGGUGCAGGGGGAUAGGCCUGCAGAAGGGGAAGGGAGGGAGGAGGGAAGGCAUGAGGGGAGGGAGGGACUCAAGGGUUCUUGCCUGAGUUUGGGGGUAUGGCAGGAGACCAGCUGCCUCCACCCCACAUCUUUCACAAAUGUCUACAGGCCUGUAGUGGUUCUCAUGGAGGCCCCAGGCUCUGAGAGCUCAGGGAAUUCUCCAGAGCCAGCAUCAGGGCCAGGACUGAGUUACUUCCUCACCCUAUGGGGUUGCCCCAUAGACAAGCUGGGCUGGAUUGGGAAGUUACAGGUGACAUGGAGAAGGGGACCUGUGGGUGCAGAUCUUCGUGUCCCUGGCUCUGUAUAGGAUGAAUGGGAGCAGUGGCUCCCAGCCUAUCCCACCCUACCUGUCCACACCCGCAGUGCUGGCCCAGACCUCGGUUUCCACCUCGGGAGCAACUGUCCCAACCAGGGAGGGUCUCUGGGGAGCCCAGGGUCAGGAUGACUGUGCCAGGACUCAAAGGUAUUGGAGGAGGAGAGGAGAAACAGCUGCUUGGAAGUCAGGGGCCUUCUGGGGCAAAACUGCCUCCUGUCACUAAGGGGUCAGAUUUCGGGACUCAGGGGUCUCACGCACAGAGGGCUGGUCUCCCGUGUGCUUGCAGCAGCCACGUGGCUUGUCCACAUGAACUGCCGGGGGCUCCUCCUCUCUGUGCCCACAAGUCCUGGCCACCCAAGGCUGCUGGCACCUUCAGCAGCUCUGUCUCCACAUGGUCACGCAAAAGGUUGGUGUGCUGGUGGCGCUGGCUGCACUGCAUGUUGUCAGUGGUGAUGGAGAAGGGCACCUCCAUGGCAUCCAGGGCGCGCUCCAGCCGUUGCUUCUGGGCCAGCAGCAGGUCGGUCUCCGCAGCCAGUGCCUCCACCUCACGCUGCAGCUCCGACUUCCAGCUGUUCGUGUCCUGCAGUCGCUCGCCCACCCUGCACGUGGAGUCUUGCUGUGUCGGCUGUGCCAGUGCCUGGGUCUCUGCGGCCAGCUGCUGGCUCUCGUGCCCCUGCAGCUCCCGCUCUGACUGGUUGCAGUUGGCGAAGGCCUGGCGGUAGCGAGCAUAGCAGUUCUGGAACCACACCUCCAGCCAGCGGUGGCCAGGCCGGAGGACGUGUAGGCGCCCGUGUUUCUGGCCACGUCAUACUCUUUGCAGGGCAGCUCGUAGGGUGGCACUGUCUGUGGGGCCAGCUCUGGUAGGAGCACAUCCGUCUGCACCAUGGUGUCUGCCGCCCACCAGGGCCAGGGGAGUGAGGAGUGUGUGUGGUCAGCUUGUUGCGGUCAGCCCAGUGCAGUCAUCGGUCGGCUCCAACGGCUCAGUCCCAGAGCAGGACCUGGCUCCCAGUCGCUUGGGUGACACAGUAAACCAAGAGCUUCCUGUUGCCAAGAAACGGGAUCUCUUCUCCAGUGGCUAGGGGAGGGGGCAUUCAGGGCGGUGGGCAGAAUUGCCCUCUUAAAGGGCCAGGCAGCCCCAGCCCCACCAUCCCUGUCCCCACCUCGGGGCAAUCAACAGUGGCCAAGGGUUCCUGUCACUUAGAGGAUCCCAGGGCCAGCCCGUCUCCAGCCUCUGUGUCCCACUCUUAGGGUUCAGGGUGUGGGUGGGGACCUACUGCCCUGGCCCCUUCGUUGAUUCAUCCAUUUGUUCCUAGUUUGCUCUCUGAUCCUGUCCUGUGCGGAGCUCUGCGCUCAGGGUGAACAAGACAGAGGAGGCUCUGCCCACCUGCCCCCUCAGGGCAGAGGGCUGUGGCUGUUGUGUGGAUGUUGGGUGUGCUGAGUGAUAGUGUUACUUGAUGCCGUACAGGUGGCUGCUCUCCCUGCCCUCCUGGCCCCAACAGCAGCCUGGUAGCACAGGGAGGGUCCCAGGCCAGGCCCCCUCAGGGGCAGUCUGAGGCAGUUCCUGCAGGGACUCCGCUCCAUUUUCUCCUGGACCUAGUGCCUGAGAGCCAGGCCCUGGCCUCUGGCCUUCUCCUCCCAAGUCCCAGCCAGGGUCCUCUCAGGCUGGGCACAGUGGGGAGGGAGGGAGUCUGAGUGUGCUUUUCCCUGGGGAGUUGAAUUCAGCCUCUGGGUAAGUGUCCAGAGUCAGAUGCCCAACUCUGCCCCACAGGGCGGAGGCAGGUCCUGUGCUGCCGAGGCUGCCCUGAAAGCCACCCAGGGCCAUGCUGCCUGGCAGAGGCUGGAUGGGCAGGAAGCGCCCCAGGACACAUCGGAGUCCCCCAAACCUGGGGCCAGGGGAGCCCCAGCCUAGGCGCGAUUCCCCACGCAGCCAGCGGAGGGUGGCGUUGGUCUGGCGGUGAGAAGCCUGCGGCUCCUGGCUCGGCCUCCCCUCCGCCUGCCUGGCGCAUGCAGUCCUGGGGACCCCAGCCCCUCCGGCCUCCUCUUCCCUGAGAAUCCCGCACCAGAAAGUCCUCGCUAGGAAGUCCAUGCCCUUCCUACAGCACAGGCCCCUGGGCCCCUGUUCCUUCCACCUUCACCUCCUCUCUCACCACAGCCCACACCCUCACUCCAGCCACAGGAGCCGGGGCUCCUCCUGGGCCAUUUCUACCACCCCGCCCAAGUCUCACCAGCACAACCAUGUGCCGGCCAGUGCCCUCCUCCUGGACCUGACCUCCCCCGGACCUGACCUCUCCCGUGGCCAGAACCCUCAGUCCAUGCAGCUGUCACCACGGUGCGCCUGGCCUGACACAGCCUCCUGAUGGGGCUUUGAGGACAGCAGCCAGUAGACUUACCCCAACCCAGGCCGAGCCAGAACCUAUUGCAGGUGGCCUGGGAACCUCUUCUCACUGUCCGUCAAGAUUGGGAGGUCAGCGGACCUUCAGGGACUGGUGUGGUCUGAGAAACAUCCUUGAGCCUCGCCAUGACUCAGUUUCCCCAGAUGGCAUCAGGCUGGAGCCCAUGCAGGGCAGGAUGCCAGGCUCCACCUUUUGUCUGGAACCUGCAUUCACUGGGCACCUCUCUGUAGGCAUAGCAGAGCAGAGCUCCCUGUUUCUGUCCCUGAUCUGCAGCCCCAGGAGCCCGAGAGACCACCUAAGCCAAGGGGAAGGCCUCUGGGCCAGAGCCCAGCUCUGCGAAGUGGGAGACCUCUCAGCCACCACUUCCAGGUGCCCUGAAGUCGUUGGCAGGGGGUGCUGCCUACUUGGGGCUCCCAGACUAAGGGAACACAUUCACCUGGUGACCACAAUAGGCCCUGCAGGCUGAGGCACAGGAUUUGACCAAGGACGCAUCAGAGUUAGGGGACUGGGCCCUGACUCCUGCCAGCUGCAAACUCCCAAAGCCCCCAGCCCUCUCAUGGGGUGAAGACACCCUGAAGGACACUCCAGUGUGCUCCCACCUCUGGGUUCUGCCAGCCAGAGAGUGGGACUCUCAGGCCACAUGUGUCUUGCUGGAUCUCAGCUUCAGGGACCCAGGGUGCUGGCAGCUCUCUGAGACCUGGGUCAGGGGGUGUCCAUUAGAGCACCUUGGUCAGGACCCAGAGAUAGGGAGGGCAGGGCUAAGAGCACCCCAGGCAGUUGGCAUCUCCAGAAAGCAGGAGGUAGGGCAUGGCUCUGUGACAGAUGUUCCAUGACAGGGAGGAUUGGAGGGACAGAGGGACGUGCUCAGGGGCUGAGGGGCAGACGAGGCCACCAAAGGGCACCUUGGACACUGGAUGGCCCCAGGAAGGCCCCUGAACCCCAUCCUGAUUGAUCCAGGGCCAGUGACCUUGGCCCAGACUGCAGGCCUGGGAAUUCAGGUUCCUUUAGUUUCUUAAGAAACUACUAUACUCCUUUUUGGCAUAGCUGUACGAUUUUACAUUCCCACCAGUCAUGUGUGAAAGCUCCAGUUUUUACUCAUGCUCCCCAGCGUUUGAUGUUUUAUUUUUAUUUUAGCUAUUCUGAUAUAUAUGUGUUAGUCAUUGUGGUCUUAAUUUGCAAAUUUCUAAUGACUAAUGAUAUUUAACAUCUUUUCCUGUUCAUAAUUAAAUACCAUCUGUAUUCCUUUUCACAUAUCAUUAGCACAAAUGUGAGAUAUCAGAACAAAAUUUUUCACACAACUUCAAAAUUUUUAGAACAAUACUCAAGGGAAAAGGUGUUUAUUUAGAACAAUGAAAACAAUGAGACAUUAACUUCCAGCUUAAAUAAAGUUGAUUGUGUGCAUAAAAAUGGUGAAAAUAUUGGACUUUCUUGGCAAAAGAAGAAAGGGGAAGACUUUAUAUUUUCUGACAUAAUAUUCAUCAUUUGUCUUUGGUUUGUGUAUUAUGUGUAUGAUUUUGAAAAAAAUGCAUCAAAGAUAUAACUUUCUGGUGUUUGCUUUGAUAUUAUCCUUGCAAACAGAAAAGUUGGCACAUGUUUCUGUAUAAAACUGGUCAAAGUUGGCCUAGGAAUGAUCUUACAUUGUACUUUCACUUUACAUCAUACUGUAAGAGUUUAA
Homo sapiens (human) is the source of this 6207-nucleotide long non-coding RNA. RefSeq lists it as uncharacterized. NCBI's taxonomy places the organism in Eukaryota, Metazoa, Chordata, Mammalia, Primates, Hominidae. The transcript is spliced from 7 exons. The record is from RefSeq and is a predicted model, not a curated record.